Molecule: ribosomal RNA, 442 nt
Filed under: uncultured bacterium
Lineage: Bacteria
Description: partial 16S ribosomal RNA
Rfam family: Bacterial small subunit ribosomal RNA
Source: RNAcentral
CCUACGGGAGGCAGCAGUGGGGAAUAUUGGGCAAUGGGCGCAAGCCUGACCUAGCAACGCCGCGUGAAGGAAGAAGGCUUUCGGGUUGUAAACUUCUUUGGACCGGGAAGAGUAGAAGACGGUACCUGUCGAAUAAGCCACGGAUAACUACGUGCCAGCAGCCGCGGGAAUACGUAGGUGGCAGGCGUUGUCCGGAUUUACUGGGUGUAAAGGGCGUGUAGCCGGGUUGACAAGUCAGAUGUGAACGCCUGCGGCUUAACCGCAGAACUGCAUUUGAAAAUGUUGAUCUUGAGUACUGGAGAGGCAGACGGAAUUCCUAGUGUAGCGGUGAAAUGCGUAGAUAUUAGGUGGAACACCAGUGGCGAAGGCGGUCUGCUGGACAGCAACUGACGGUGAGGCGCGAAAGCGUGGGGAGCAAACAGGAGUAGAUACCCCUGUAGUC